RNAcentral lists this ribosomal RNA (271 nucleotides) under uncultured bacterium. RNAcentral's name for it is "partial 16S ribosomal RNA". It matches the Rfam family "Bacterial small subunit ribosomal RNA", at positions 78 to 354 of the family's 1533-position model. The record is from RNAcentral.
CUUAUGCCGGCGACCGGCGGACGGGUGCGUAACGCGUAUGUAACCUACCUUUGACCGGGGGAUAACAUCGAGAAAUUGGUACUAAUACCCCAUAACAUCACCGGAGGCAUCUUCGGUGGUUGAAAACUCAGGUGGUCAGAGAUGGACAUGCGUUGUAUUAGCUAGUUGGUGAGGUAACGGCUCACCAAGGCGACGAUACAUAGGGGGACUGAGAGGUCAACCCCCCACAUUGGUACUGAGACACGGACCAAACUCCUACGGGAGGCAGCAG